UAAUUUAUAGUAUUUAUUAAAAAAAAUUCCAAUCAUCUCUAUAAAUAGUCUCUUGUAUGUAUUGCUUGUUGAUUAAUAACUUGAAAGAGAGAAUGGUUUAUAGCAUCAACUGUGUCUGUUUUUUCAUUGCAUUGCUAUGCAUGACAUCCAUUUCGAAUCGAGGAGGAAUUAUUGAUGCAACAACAACUAGUGGUGGUCCAUUUGAUAUUUGCACUACCCACGGGCCAUGUCCAAAUAUUUCUGAUGACGACUGUAGUGAUUAUUGUUCGGAUAAAUUGUUGCUUACUUUUGGUGGCACGUGCUUUGAGAAUGAAUGUUGUUGUUCUACUGGAUAUACUUUCAUAUAUGAUUUUAGUGUAUAAUGUUUAAUUAACGUUAUAUAUUUUGAAAAUUUGAUAAUAAAUAAAUACAUCGAUUUUAGUUUUAAAUAUCA
Long non-coding RNA from Cicer arietinum (chickpea), 433 nucleotides. RefSeq lists it as uncharacterized. The record is from RefSeq and is a predicted model, not a curated record. Lineage: Eukaryota; Viridiplantae; Streptophyta; Magnoliopsida; Fabales; Fabaceae.